GCAUGCAGUCGUGCGCGAAAGUCUUCGGACGAGUAAAGCGGCGAAAGGGUGAGUAACACGUAACCAACGUACCCCUCAGAUUGGGAUAACCACUGGAAACGGUGGGUAAUACCGAAUGGUCCUACAGCUAGGCAUCUAGUUGAUGGUAAACGGUGGCUUCGGCUGCUGUUGAGGGAGCGGGUUGCGGCCUAUCAGCUUGUUGGUGAGGUAACGGCUUACCAAGGCGAUGACGGGUAGCGGGUCUGAGAGGAUGAUCCGUCACACUGGGACUGAGACACUGCCCAGACUCCUACGGGAGGCUGCAGUCGAGAAUCUUCCACAAUGGACGAAAGUCUGAUGGAGCGACGCUGCGUGUAGGAUGAAGGCCUUAGGGUUGUAAACUACUGUCACGCUAUAGGAACCCGUAGUCGUUAAUAGCGGCUGCGCUGACCAAAGCGAAAGGAAGUGCCGGCUAACUCCGUGCCAGCAGCCGCGGUAAUACGGAGGGCGCAAGCGUUGUUCGGAAUCACUGGGCAUAAAGAGCAUGUAGGCGGUCUUUUAAGUCGGAUGUGAAAGCCCUCGGCCCAACCGGGGAACUGCAUUCGAUACUGAUUGACUCGAGGACAGGAGGGGUGAGUGGAACUUCAGGUGGAACGGUGAAAUGUGUAGAUAUCUGAAGGAACACCGGUGGCGAAAGCGGCUCACUGGCCUGUCUCUGACGCUGAGAUGCGAAAGCUAGGGUAGCAACGGGAUUAGAUACCCCGGUAGUCCUAGCCGUAAACGAUGGGCACUAGGCAUGGGAUUUCCCUAUGGUUCUC
Molecule: ribosomal RNA, 797 nt
Filed under: uncultured bacterium
Lineage: Bacteria
Description: bacterial SSU rRNA
Rfam family: Bacterial small subunit ribosomal RNA
Source: RNAcentral